CCUACGGGGGGCAGCAGUGAGGAAUAUUGGUCAAUGGGCGAGAGCCUGAACCAGCCAAGUCGCGUGAGGGAGUACUGCCCUAUGGGUUGUAAACCUCUUUUGUCGGGGAGCAAAAGCCGGACGUGUCCGGCUGUGAGAGUACCCGAAGAAAAAGCAUCGGCUAACUCCGGGCCAGCAGCCGCGGUAAUACGGAGGAUGCGAGCGUUAUCCGGAUUUAUUGGGUUUAAAGGGGGCGCAGGCGGAUUUUUAAGUCAGCGGUAAAAUCGUGGGGCUCAACCCCAUCCAGCCGUUGAAACUGGGGAUCUAGAGUGUGCGAGAGGUAUGCGGAAUGCGUGGUGUAGCGGUGAAAUGCAUAGAUAUCACGCAGAACCCCGAUUGCGAAGGCAGCAUACCGGUGCACAACUGACGCUCAGGCACGAAAGCGUGGGUAUCGAACAGGAUUAGAUACCCUGGUAGUC
This 458-nucleotide ribosomal RNA is filed under the name uncultured bacterium. RNAcentral's name for it is "partial 16S ribosomal RNA". It matches the Rfam family "Bacterial small subunit ribosomal RNA", at positions 338 to 795 of the family's 1533-position model. The record is from RNAcentral.